RNAcentral lists this transfer RNA (72 nucleotides) under Candidatus Woesearchaeota archaeon. RNAcentral's name for it is "tRNA-Gly". It matches the Rfam family "tRNA". Rfam says of the family: Transfer RNA (tRNA) molecules are approximately 80 nucleotides in length. Their secondary structure includes four short double-helical elements and three loops (D, anti-codon, and T loops). Lineage: Archaea; Nanobdellati; Candidatus Woesearchaeota. The record is from RNAcentral.
ACGGCAGUAAUCUAAUGGCUAUGAUUCGAGCUUCCCAAGCUUGCUAUCCGGGUUCAAAUCCCGGCUGCCGUA